Cygnus atratus (black swan) is the source of this 5586-nucleotide long non-coding RNA. RefSeq lists it as uncharacterized. NCBI's taxonomy places the organism in Eukaryota, Metazoa, Chordata, Aves, Anseriformes, Anatidae. The record is from RefSeq and is a predicted model, not a curated record. The transcript has 3 exons.
CAGCUUGAUUGUCUCUAGAAGGAUACCAGUUUGGAGCUCAGCAGUAUUAGUAAGAAUUAACACUAAUUUGUAGCUUCUAAUUUGCUCAAAAUAGCAUCAAAAGUGAAUUUUCCCAUUUUUAUUUACUACUGCACUGGAAGGUACUGUACCACGAAGAUCUACCCUCACAUUACUGCACUGCUUGACAACGCCAGCAAACUUUACUUUUCCAGAGUCAGUAUCCUACAAAACAAUGCAAGCUGUUGUGUUGCAGAACGGUGAUGUGAGAGCACACAACGGCCACAGACCCAUCGGUAUGAACUCAGCAGCCUUUACCCACUCAAAAAUCCAGUGACCAGACCAUCUGCAGAACCAAAGAGGCAGCGUACAGCUGCUGUGAGACGAAAUGUUCAGCCACAAUUACAGUUGUUCUGCAGCCAAUAAAUCCAUCUGUGGGUCUGAGCACGUAUAUCUCAUCUCCCUGGGGAUGAUCAUCCAAAUGACAUCUGGCAAAAAGGAAUGAGCAGUGCUCGCAUAGGCCACGUCUGUUUGGUUACAGCUCUGCGUGCAGGAGGGGUGUGCGGCGCUACCGCUACUUCUCCUUCCCAGGCUGGUUUCCUUCCAGCCACUGCCACUGCCUGCAGCCUCGCACCCAGACCCGCCCAGAGCUCGCACGCGGGCACCAACCUGACACUGCUCAACUGCCGCUCUACAGGAAUUUGAAUAAAGCAAACAGAGACUGACGGGGAAGCCAGAACUGAAGACGAUUUUACUGAAAGGCUCGACACGGCUGGCUUUUCUUAAAACUACAUUAUCAUGUGACGGCAUUACAACAUACUGACUUUUCUAGACCAAGAGCUCCUUAGGCAGCCCGCAGUGUUUGCGAGAAAGGACAAAACUCACAGUGGGAAGGAAGCUCCAUUAACCCUUUCCUAUGAAAGGAACUAAACAAUCUUUUUCUGAACACUGUUUUUACCUCUUGUUAUUAAUGGACCUUUGCUCAAAAUCUUUAUGGCUUACUUCUCUUCCCUUCAAUUUUCUUCAGCUUGUGUUACCCCUGCUCUUCAAUAUGCCUUUCCUUAUUGCUUCCUUUUCAGACUGCAAAGACGCUGAGAGAUUGCACUCCUGGACACUUGUGCAACUGUGAAAAUAAGUAACAACCUCUUGCAAAAUUUGCAAUAAGAUACCAGGGUCAUGUAAAUAAAAUCUCCCAAAUAACUGCCAGAUUUUAUACAAAAUCUUAUUUUUCUAAUCUUGUCCAAUUCCUGUUCCCCUAACCUGUUUUUCCUUCUUCUUCCUUUGCCAUUCUUUGAUCCAAGAUUAUCAGCAUCUAUUACUAGUAUGAGUUCUGAGCCAGUGAGAUAACAGAGACUACUCUGUCACUAGUUAGCAUUACCAACCCACCCCAUAUUUUAUUCUGAAUGUGCCUGCCUGGAGAUAUUCUGCACUCUGAUUUACAGAUGUGCUUGUGGGAAUUUUCUUAAAAGCUGUGAGGUGUACAUGUUUCCUAAGAAACAAAUUUGGUCCUGGGGCACUGCUUUUGUUUGCCUUAAUAUCUCUCCUUAUACUACUAUUUAUUCAAGUUUGUAUUCUCAUAUUUACUUUAAGGCUCCUUUACGCCACUCUUACUCUAUGUACACUGGGUAAACACAGGUGCACAUUUUAGGUAUGCUGUGAGAGGCUGCAUUGCAAAUAAGCAAUAUUGCUCUUAUAGCUAUUUCCCAGCAUUUUAACAAGCCAUCAAACAUGGGAGCUAGGAAAGAUCUUAAGAAAUUAUCUCGUCCAACCUCCAGCUGCAGAGAACCUCAAUUUCUCUCUAACUCUUCACCUUUUCUGUAACCCUCUGCGUAUUUUUCCUGCAGCAACAGGCCUGGAUACAAAGCACACAAAUAUUUCCAAGCUCAACUCUACAUCAGCUCAGGCCCACCUCUGAUCCGUAAGCAAACACACUUUAUCUAUAAGCAACCUGCCCUUUCCCAACUCUGCCGCAGCAGGAAUGCAGCCUUGUCCAUUUCCAGGCAGAAGCUGUCAGACACAAUCCUGUAGUUCUCCAAAAUGCUGACUUUCUGCUCUUAUUAAUUUAUUGAUCUGCUUUACAGAAUGUAGGUAUUCAAUCAUUUCAUUUUUCUUAUUAAACUCAACUUGCUUCUCUAUAAAUUUAAUUUAUAGAAAAACUUCUGAACUUGACAAGGACACCCUUCAUUUCAUGCAAUUGAUUUUUCCUCUGCGUGCAUAAUCUGGCUAGUCCAAUGCCAAAACACAGACUUCAUAAAAAGCAAAAAAAUAUUCCUCCUACUGUAAACACAUUCAGCAGUUUAUUACUGACUACAGUUUAGGUUAGCAUAAAUCACUGUAUGCUUCUGUUCCCGGCCAGAUAUCAUAUUAAAAAAAUCAGGACGUAUUUUUGUAUCUACACAGAAGAUACAGGACCAGAGCAGUUCAGAAUAUUCCCUGCUAUUUUAUCAUCUGUUCCAGUCACUGUCAGCCAGCACGUAGCCCUCACUUUGACUUGUUAUGUGACUGCUUUGACAUUCCUCUGGUCUCACAUCAACUUCCUAAUCCCAGCCCUUUCAAGCUAAUGCACGACCGCAUCGAGCAGCGGGGAGGACGGUCGCUGCUGCAGACGUAAGGUCUGUGAGUCCAGCCCACGCGCAAGCAAGUGCUGAAGUGAGAAUGCCAGGGACGGGUUCUGGUUCCUCCUCACCUGCCCAGCCCCAGCUCCCCCUACUCAGCAGGCUCUGGCUAGGACAUUUAACUGCGCUGUGCUAUCAGGAGCAGGGAAUGAAAAGCAGGACAGAAUAAGCCGUCCAAGAAAGGUCAUUUCAAACGCGGCAGACAAGACUUCUUGCAGACCAAAACGUCAGCUGCACAGAUCCUCCUGCUCCGUAUCAAAGUGGAACAAACGUCUCCCCUGCCGGCGCUGUGGUGCUGGGAGCUGUGCGAUCAGCCCGGCAUGUAACAGGGUGUGGGCACAGCAAACUGGCUGAGGCUGCCCUGCUUUUUCUCUGUAAUACAAAGACCCUUUUCUGCUAUCAUUGCUUAGGACAGUUCAAGUUCAACACGCUCAUCAUGACCUUCAGCCAUCUGAGAUAACAGCUCUGGUAGCUUCGGCGGGUAAAUUUAGCGCAGAUGUUCCUGACAGGCUCCCUGACGAGGCACAACACCCAUGGCCAGCUUACAAAAAGGAAUGGUUUUGAACCAAAAGAGAACAAACCCGAACCUGUCUCCCUCACUGCAGAGCAUCUACUCCCGGUGAAAGUCCUGAACUCGCCACACACAGUAAGCCAUCUGCUCUAUUUAUUAUACCACAAAGAUGUGGUCCAAAAAUGAAAAAAUCCCUAAGAGACCAUAAGAAUGCAGAGAAAAAAUCAGUCUUGUCUCUCUCUGAUAUUCCAUCUGUGCAGCUUUUCCCCAGAAUCCUCUUUUAGCCGGCCCUUACAGAUUAACCACUUGGGUACCAGUGAUGGGUUUUCCAGUGUAUGCUGUGGCGCUAAGGGCAGCUGAUCUAUUCUGGGAUGUUGACGGCGCCUUCAUCCCCCCCAGCCAGCACAACUGCUCUGCGGCUCUCUGCUCACUGCAAUCCCUUUUUCUCUUCAACCCUCACUGCCCUCUUUCUCCAUUCUGCUUUUCCCUUUCGCCUUCUCUUCUGCCUCCACAAACUCAUGCUGAACUUUCUCCGACCCAAGGAGGCUCAAAACAAACAGAAGCUUGUGAAUUAUUAACAGCGUAGACUAUAAAUAGUGCAUUUUUAAUGACAGCCGGACCACCGGGAUGCAUGCACUACUGCACAGAUCAGCUACUUGGCCUGAUGUCAUUACCCUGAAGUGUCCCCUCACCUGCCAUUUGUCAUGGGUACUCCACAGAAGAGCAACUGUGGAGAGGAGGGACAGAAGCCCUGGGCCUGAAAAGCACCACGGGCUCUUCUAGUACUUUGCCAUGUAUUUACACUCCUUGGGCUGAUCUGGCUUCCAGAGGUCUGUGUACGAUCCAAACAACCAGAACAGAAAUGCAGCCUGGUGGUCCCCGAACAGAAACCCUCACUGGGACAGUUUGCACAAACUGAAUGGGGAUCUGCACAAUGAGCAGAGCAUGGGUGGAAACUGUGAUCAAUAUUCUCUGCUGAUCCAUACUAGGAUUCAUUAACUGGAAUGAACAACCUUUCCGUGGCAGAAACCUUCCAGCAGAAAGCCAUAGCAAUGGAAAUGAAGCACCACAAGUGCCCUGCUGAGAGUCCUGCAAAUGCCUGGAAGGCAGGAAAUGCUUGACGCAGACACCUAGACUCGUUUUACAACUCCAGAUAGAACGACAAAUGCAUACAUCCCCAUUUCUACACAAGCAGCACAGUCCCUUACUUGGAAUGCACCCAGAUUUCAGAUGGAUUUCCUAGUCCAGUCUGGUAACUGACUGAGUCAAAAAGACUUCCACAAAGCUGAUUAAAAACACAAAUCAUAAAUCAGUUAAAAAAUUCACAGAAGAAAAAACAAAUGCAAUUUGUGUAACCAGAUUCACCGUGUCAGUAUACAGGAAUGUUGAAUAAGCAGAUUCUGGUGUUUCAGCAGCCUGAGGAAAAGCCCCGUAACCUGGAUCUUUGAAAGUAUUUAAGACGGGCAGACAACAAAAGUCCUCUUUCAUUUGUGAAAGCUUAUAGCAGUGUGUAAAGUCUUGAUGGAGAAAGAUGGCACUGAGCUUAUUAGCCUCCCAGCUGAACAGUGCUGUGCAGACUUGGCAGCUGCAUCCGCAAAGGAGGAUAAUGGAAAACACAUAAAUCAGCCCUGAGUCAUCUGCACGGUCUUACAGGCCCUUGCAACAUGUGACUGUGUGGGGUACGCGGCCUGGUGCCACCCUUGAUUCCACAGCUAUGCCUCACCAGUAACCCGCAGCGAAAAUCAUCCAAAAAGUCAUCCAGUUUGCUGCACUUACAAGGACAAUAAGUAUGGCAAGGACUCUGAGAAGCAAAGCGUGGAUUCUUUCUCUCUCCAAGUUUUGACUGAUUUUUAAAAAGAUAUGCUUUACCGGCCAGAACAGUUCAGUCAGCAGUGUGCAGACAGAACCCAGCCUUCCACCUCUGCUACCCUGGCCUCAGACAUGAGACAACAGUCCUUCCAGGCAGGUACGAAGAGAGAAGGUGUUGGUAACGUCUCCAGGACAGCUUGUGACACCAAACAAUUUCUAAUGCACUUGCAAAAACCUGGGAUUUUGCAUAUCACAAUUUGUCUCUGUGUCCAUAAGACACAAACCACAGCCUGGGAAGGUCAAAGACUGGCAGCUGGACCGCGGUGUUGUACAGGCUGAACAAUGGGGUAGCUGCUGGAAACCCUCAGUGCUAGACAGUGCCCCAGGUUACACGGGAUUCCUGUGUCACACAGAGACCAGACUAAGCAAUCAUCUCUUCUAGCCCUCGAAUCUAUUGCAUGAAUGAACAGAAAGCACACUGAGGAAGAAACACCAACUACUGAAGCAGAACUUACAAAAAUACAGAAACUUACAGAAAUAAUAAAUUGACAAAUACUUUGCUUCUUUUAAAAAAGUGAGCAAGAAGGCCAGUAACAUGGCAACAGCCCUACAAAGCUGUAUAACUUGACUGCUAUCUUUCCUGGCUGUAACAGC